UCUUGUACUGUUUGACAAAUGUCAAGGAAUAUAGACAUUUCUUUUUGACAGAUAAAACGCUUAAUUUGUGGUAUUUGCUCGAAUUUAUAGCGUUAAAUUCGCAAAGAACGCGCUCAUUUUGUGCUUAAUUUACGUGAAAAGUGUAGAAAAUCGAGUAGCGUAUAUUAACGCUGCUAUUUAAAUAAAAUUUUUGCAUUUUCUGUAGUAAUUACUGCAUGCGGCGACUGCGGACUUCAACGAAGGCGCAGACGGCUGGGGCAGCGACGGCGACAACGACGACGACGAAAGGUGGUGUUGCCAGCAAUAGUAGCUGUGGUGGUGCAUCAACAGUGUCAACCGGAAUAACGCCGCAUGCGGAUUGUAAAACAACAAGCCACAAUAGCAGUUUCAGUGGAAGUGGUGGUAGCAAUAAUUUGACAACAAGCAACAGCAGCAGUGGUGCUACAGCAGCCAUCACAACCGCCGUUGUAACAGCAAAAGCAGGUGCGGGACGUCAGAAACACAACAGCAUGGACGUUAAGCUGAGUGGGGAUGUAUUUAAGAACUUUGAAAAGACUGGAAAGAGUGAAUUUUUGAAGUUCUUAAAACAACAAGUGAAGGAAAAUGAUAAUCCGAUUUUUGGCAAAAAUGACGAAUUUAAAUUCGGAAUCUCCAGGGCAAUAUACGAUCUGCUAUGGCAUGGACUACGUUGCACGUUGAAAAAAGAUACAGUGCUAAAUACUUUAGCCGAUGUUGUGACGUUGCAUACUGAUUUUCCAUCGGUUAUACUGGACAUUGUAAAUAUAUUGGAUGCAGAGACUUCUCUAAUGACUGAUGGCAUACAAGAAGAGCGGCUCAUGUUUAGUCAGAUUAUUAAAGAUCUCGACAAGGUAAUCUCGGAUAAGCUAAUAAAAGAGCGUUUGGAAAUCGAUACGCUGCAAGAUGUAGGCAUUGUAAAGAACAAGGUGUUCUACACCAAAUUUAUUAAGAUAAAAACAAAGCUUUAUUACAAACAGCGUCGCUUUAAUCUUUUUCGGGAGGAGAGCGAAGGCUAUGCCAAGCUAAUCACCGAACUAAAUCAAGAUUUUGAGGAGGGUGUGACUGCCACAAGCAUAAUGGAUAUCAUAAAAUCGCUUAUAGGCUGUUUCAAUUUGGACCCCAAUCGCGUACUUGAUAUAAUUAUUGAAUCAUUUGAAACACGUCCCGAGCGGCGGCAUCUUUUCAUACCGUUGUUACGCGCGUACAUGCCAAAUGGUUCAAUUAUAUGUGAAGUACUCGGUUAUAAAUUUCGCUACUUUGCCGACACAAGAACGCCACGUUCACUUUUCCAUGUUUGUUCACUGCUUCUGAAAUAUGGCGUAAUCGAACUACAUGAUAUAUACCAAUGGCUUGCGCCAGUUGAUAAAAAUAUUACAAGCGAAUGGGAAAACGAUCUAGCGGAGGCGAAAGAAUUUGUGCGCAAACUAAAUAUAAUAGUAACAAAUAAAGAUAAAGAACAUGUGGAGCCAGAAAUGGAGAAACCUUACGAUGAAGAAAAGUACUAUGCCAACCAGAAAUUCGGUUUGUGUGAGGGUCUGCUCAAAGUUGGUGACUGGGAAAAUGCUUAUAAAAUUAUCAAAAAACUACCGGAGCAAUCCGUUGCUGUGCAUGAGUCCAUUGCACGUGCGCUCGCCGAACUAAUUCACAUUUCUAUCGAUUAUGUGUAUACGGAAAAAUGUUUUAAAGCGAAUUCACGCCGUUCGAAAUUGACUGAUGAUAAGAAAUUGCUGCAGAAAUUGCAAGCUCGUGAAUUUUCUGAACUUCGCAACUAUACCAUACCGAUGGUGAUAGCUCUCGGUCCUGCUUUGCAUUUUGACACAGUGCUCAUGUAUAAACUUAUACGUAUAUUGCGCACAAUAAUGACCGAUAUGGGUGUGGAUAGUCUGAAUGCGCCCACACCAAACACCGAAUCAGAAACAUUGUACUUCGAGGUGAUGACUGUUAUGGACGCAGCAAUAUUACCGGCACUUUCCUACCUAGACUGCAAUUGCCCUAUGGCUGAAGAGAUUUGGACUGUAUUAAAAUUCUUUCCGUACCAUUUUCGUUAUAGUUUGUAUGCGCGUUGGAAGAACGACACAUACCUGGUGCAUCCUGUGCUAAUACGACGACGUGGUUUGGCACACAAAAAUAUCAAGGCUUUAAUGAAGCGCGUCAGUAAGGAGAAUGUGAAGCCGGUGGGGCGUCUUAUCGGCAAGUUGAGCCAUUGCGCACCUGGCUUUCUCUUCGAUUAUAUCCUACUACAAAUUCAAAUAUACGAUAAUCUAAUUGGGCCUGUAGUCGAUUCAUUGAAAUAUCUCACAUCGUUAUCGUUCGACUGUUUGGGCUAUUGUCUCAUUGAAGCGCUAGCAAAGGCGGAUAGGGAUCGCUUUAAGCAUGACGGUACCUCGAUUUCACUGUGGCUACAAAGUUUAGCCUCUUUCUGUGGUGCGAUAUUCAAAAAGUAUAACAUCGAGCUUAGUGGCUUGCUACAAUAUGUUGCCAAUCAACUAAAGUCGCAAAAGAGCUUGGAUCUGUUAAUUCUAAAGGAAAUUGUGCAAAAAAUGGCUGGCGUAGAAUCCGCCGAAGAAAUGACAAAUGAGCAUUUAAAUGCCAUGUGCGGUGGUGAAUUGCUGCGUGGUGAGGCCGGCUACUUCAGUCAGGUGCGUAACACGAAGAAGUCUUCACAACGUUUGAAGGAUGCACUCGCCAAUAAUGAUUUGGCUGUUGCCAUAUGCUUGCUCAUGGCUCAACAAAAACACUGUGUCAUCUAUCGUGAGACUGCGCAAAGUCAUCUUAAGCUUGUUGGCAAAUUGUACGAUCAAUGUCAAGAUACCUUGGUGCAAUUUGGCACAUUUCUUGGCUCUACAUACUCGGUGGAUGAAUAUGUCGAACGUUUGCCAUCUAUCAUCGCCAUGUUGCAGGAAUAUCACAUCAAUGCCGAUGUGGCGUUCUUCUUGGCACGUCCAAUGUUCACACAUCAAAUCAAUCAAAAGUACGAUCAGUUGCGCAAGGCGGACCCCAAUGCAAAAAAGUUGACGACCAAUCAAAAAUUGCAAAAAUAUCUAGAAGCCACCAAUUUAAUUAUGAACCCUAUUGUUGAGUCUGUGCGUCCGCUACAUGGUCCCAAAGUUUGGGAGGAUAUUAGUCCACAGUUUUUGGUGACUUUCUGGUCGCUUAGUAUGUACGAUUUGCAAGUACCCGCCGAGAGUUAUCAGAAGGAAAUUUCUAAAUUGAAACAAUUGUCACAGCAGGCAGCAGAAUCCAAAGAUUCGAAUGCCUCUAAGAACAAGAAAGAGCAGGAGCGCUACAUUGCUCUAAUGGAUAAGCUACAAGAUGAACGUAAAAAACAGCAGGAACAUGUCGAUAAAAUUCUACAACGCUUACAACAACAAAAGGACAAUUGGUUCCUUUCGCGUUCGGCAAAAUCGGCAAAAAAUGAGACUAUUACACAAUUUCUACAGCUGUGCCUGUUUCCAAGAUGCACCUUCACUGCCCUCGAUGCGCUUUACUGUGCGAAAUUCGUGCACACCAUACACAACCUGAAGGCUGCCAAUUUCUCCACACUACUUUGUUAUGAUCGGAUAUUCUGCGACAUCACCUACUCGGUCACAUCGUGCACCGAAAACGAGGCCACACGUUAUGGUCGUUUUCUUUGCGCCAUGUUGGAGACGGUAAUGCGUUGGCAUGCCGAUCAAGCGGUCUUCAAUAAAGAAUGCGCCAACUACCCCGGUUUUGUUACGAAAUUCCGUGUAAGCAAUCAAUUCUCCGAAGCGAACGAUCAUGUCGGCUAUGAAAAUUAUCGUCAUGUCUGUCAUAAGUGGCAUUAUAAAAUCACCAAAGCCAUUGUAUUCUGUUUGGACUCUAAAGACUAUAUGCAAAUACGCAAUGCGCUCAUCAUACUCAUGCGUAUACUACCACAUUAUCCUGUGCUCGCGAAAUUGGCGCAAAUUAUCGAAAGGAAAGUAGAGAAAGUGCGUGAGGAGGAGAAGAAUAAACGUCCCGAUUUGUUUGUCAUUGCCUCCAGCUACAUUGGACAGCUGAAAACAAAAGCCGCGCAGAUGAUUAAAGAGAGCGAUUUCCAUCAAGUGACUGAGCGGCAGAUGCGCGUUGAAUCGGCAACGGCAGCGGCCACGGCUGCAGCGAACGCCGCCGCUAUUGCACCAACGGCGAGUGGGGCCACACUAGCUAGUGUGACGGUGUUGGCAGCAAGCAAUGGCGGCAGCGUUAAUGCAAAUGUCAUUAACUUGGUCGAUGCAGCGGCUAAAGCUGCGCAACUAACGGUGCAACAGACAAGCGCUGCGCAGCACGAAGCUACGUCCGUCGUGGCAAGACAAGUGAGCAACGGUGAUGUGAAGAGUGCUGAAAAACGCGAGAAGGAAAAGGUAGUGAAGCAGAUCAUUAAAAUGGAACGUGAACCAAUAACAAGCCCUGCUUCAAAUAACACAGUUAAUGAGCUGGAUACGCGUUCCACAACGAUUUUGUUAAAUGAACGCAAUGAGCACGGCGAACGCCGCAGCAGCAGUCGCACCUUGAAGGAUGUGAAGAAGGAAGAACGCACGCGAGAGCGUGAACGCGAACAACGAGAAAGAGAACGUGAAAUACAAAGAGAACGCGAAAAGGAACGCGAACAGCGCGAAAGGGAACGUGAAAAAGAGCGUGAACAAAGAGAAAGGGAGCGUGAGUUGCGAGAUUUGCGUGAACGCGAGCGUGAGCGUGAACAUCGCAGUCAUAACGAUGAAAUCGAUUUAGCUGGUGGCGGUGUUGGUGGUGGUGCCACCAUUGGUAGCAGUUCAACCGUUGGUAGUACUAUGAUUUCCACACGUUCCAAACGCGACAAGCGACGCGGCGAAGAGCGUUAUCGGCUAGAGUCGCCGGCCUUGGAGCAUAUUGAAGUGCUGGAGGGUAAGCAUGAGCAUCACGAGUAUGAACGUGAACGGGAUAGAGAACGUGAGCGAGAGCGUGCCAGGGACUUAAGUUCAGUUUCGAAUGAAAGCAAUGGUUCUUCGAUGCAUCGACGCAGUCAGGAUAUUAUUGAAUAUGAUAAAGAUACCAAACGCCGCAAAGUGGAAGCCACGACGACCUCUUCGUCCAACUCAAAGGUUAGUAUUUUGAUGCAAACGUAGUUGCUAAGACAGAGAGGCGGCCUUUUUGUGGAGUGCAGCAGAUGUGACAAUGCCCAGCCAUUUGACACUACAGUUAUAAAUAAAAAUUUAAGCCAAAACAAAACAACAAAUCGCAACUUAAACAACCACUGUGUAAUGCUAACAUUUUUAUCAACUAUAACAACAACAACAACAACAACAGCAAUAUUUUUGAACUGCUGCCAGUAGGGAAAGAAGUGAAAAAGGCGAAAAGGUGUUAACAAAAAAGUAAACAAGCAUUUCAACGAAACUUAAAACAAUAAAAAAAAAUAAUACAACAAAAAAACUGUCAAUGAAUUCAACAGCGUCAGCAAAAGAUGUACGAUUAAAUCGACGAAACUCUUUUGACAUCUUUUAUAACAUUGCAACAACAACUUAAAGUGAUACACCAUUCUAUUUUUAGUAAGAAACACCACCGCGUACAUAUACACACCAGCGUGUCAAACACGCUGCGUCAAAACAAAGUUUACCAAAAUGACUGUACUUAUUUGUAUGAAAACGAAAAGUUAAUUAAUUGCAUUUAAAUUGCUGCACAGAAGUAUGUUGAUGUUUUUUUUUUUUAAAUAAGUAGCACGAAUUUAAUAUGUAAAGAAGAAGCAGAAAAACUAUAAACUCAUAUAAAUUGAAAUAUUAAAAAAUUUGAAAUGAAUGCAAUUUUUGAAGAAAAAAAUUAAAAAAAAUUAAUGUUAGAAUUAAAUAUUUUUUUUUUAUAUACAAGAAAUGCACUCGAAUGUGAUUAAAAAUACCUGUAUUUGAGCAAAAAAUAUAAAAACUGGUCAAAUUUGUACUUAAGCACUUAAGCAUAAGCUUUAGCUGUUAAGUUUAGGUAAUUGUUAAAUAUUAUGUAAAUAUAUGUAUGUGUGUGUCAGAUAAGAACAAUGAGCAACUCUACCUAAAACAACAGUGGGCUAUUUGAAGGAAGAGCAACUAAACGGAACACAAUUUAAACGCUAAGCAAAUGAUAUGCGUGGGACCACAACAGUGCUUCACUUAAUUAUCUAAGAUUCUAUAUACUUGGAGCUCACCUGGAACCAUUUUAUGUCAGCGGAAGAUCAUCAUCAGAGCAGUUUACAAGCUAGCAGAGAAGAAAAUACAUCAAAUACGACGCAUUUUAGAGCUUGAAUGACAACCGAUGCGGCAAUUAUGAAGCAUAAUUUCAGCCUUCGUGACUAUUUUGCAUACUGGAUAUGCUGAAAGGAACAUCCAGAACACUAAUUCCUACUUUGAAGAAGACAUACCUUGAUAAUCAACUAGACCCUGAUGAUAAAAACUGCAAGAAUUAAUCAUUAAUCAGCAAUUGGAGACAGCUAGACAACGAGGGAGCAACAAACAACAGUUAUCCAGAACAGCUUCGUUUUAAAACCCGCAAGAUGAGUAGAUAAUCAACGCUAAACAAUGUUUCAAAUCUAUCUAAUGGAGACAGUGAACGAGAGAGGAUGAACGAUCGUGGACAAUUCCUCCCGGGUCCGGAGCUCUCAAGGAGGUUCGGUGCUCUGCAAUAAUUUAUAUUGUAGUCUUACAAAUUAAUGGAUUAGUGGGCCCGUAACUACUUCUCGGUCCCCGAUUUUCGCUUUAAAGCCUUGAAUUGAGAAGAAACCCUGUACAUAUCCAAAGCAACAACUAUCGAUUACUAUUUUAUAAGCGAGCAUGCUCGGAGACAUUCUUUACAUCAGAUGAGCGAAACAACGAACAUCAACAUAUCUCUUCUUGGAUCACAAAAGCAAGAUUUUAUUUUCACAACGCGCCUGCAAUUCGCGCUUGUUUUAAAGUCUAAAUUAGAAAAUAGAUAUAGAAGAUCAACAACUGAAGCUCAACAUAUUUCUACCACAACUGGCAGUUCACGGUUUAUCCCGGCCAAUUGGAGAGAAGACUCUGGCAACUUGACUCACAUGCGAGAUAGAUAUGCCUCUUCGAUAGACGUCAAUAUAAGCAAUGUUUACCAGAGUGACCAGCGAUUGGGAAUGCCAAUUUCGGGAUAGAUUGCUGAUUUCCAUACAACAAGAACUACAUUCAUUAUGGAACUUCACAUAAAUUUGAAGAAUCUCACUACGUACCAACAAGUAAUAAAGUGUACCACCUCUAGUACAUCAACACAGCCUAACGGUUAAAACUUGAGAACUACCGCAACGUUAUUUUUCUGCUUUCUCAGUGCAUGGAAUGUUCUGUUAAGUCUUUGCCAUCUGUAAAGUGGACCGAAAUUUCAAGAUGCAACAAUUCUUUGAAGACUAGAAGACGAUUUUCUACUUUUGUGCCUCCAACAUGUCUGCUUUAAUGUUUGUACGCCAAUAGUAUGUUCGUUGAGACAACCAUCAACUACGCCACAGCAGCCGAAUUAAAAUUCAUUAAAAAAUAAGUACACCUUAGCAAACAAAAAACAUCUUCAAAGAGUAUGGGUCGUCUAAACAACAAAACAAAAACAACCUCCUAUCAAAUAAUAAAUCCGUCGUGCGUUUUAUGGAACUGAGAUACCGUGAAAGUUCGAUGCAAAUCACUCGGUCACUGUUGAGCAUAACCCAAGUAUCAUCAAAUAUAUUCUAAACAUUUCGAAGUGUCUUUCUCUCCGCUGCCUGCAUACGUAAUUCUUCUUGCGCAGUUUUGUUGUUAGUCGUUGGUUAUAAGCGAGCUGCGGUGAUCGAAUGGUCGAAGCAGAUUACAGAAGAUUUGAUUGAGAGUACAAAGAAAGAACGCGCCAUAAAGAAUAAAGAACGUAAGGAAAAGCUAACCGAGGAGGAGAAAGAUGCACGCAAAGAACGCAAAUUGGGACGUAAACGUGAGCGACUCGAGGAGAAUUCCAAUGCAGAGCAUAAGCGGCGAAGAGAAGUGCAAAACGGCGAUGAUGAUUUGCGCGAGCGUGAUAAAUAUCAUACAAGGGAAAAGUCACCACACUUGCGCAGCGAAACACGUGAACGUUCGCACGAGAAAUUCGAACGCGAUCGCAGCACACGUGAGGAGCGCUUAUACACUUCGAAGUCUACACGCUCGCGCAUUGGCUAUUAGUGUGCAGACGGAACACGAGUUUUACAAAUAUUUGUUUUUAGAUUUAAAAUUGACAACAACUACCGCAUUAGAUACAGCAACCAAUUCAAUUAGUACUCUAAAUAUCCAUUUUAAUUUUAUAAGAGCGCCAAAAAGAAAAAAAAAACGAAAAAAUAACACAGCAACAAAAGCAACUCCAACUCAACCACAGCGAACAUUUCAUUUAAUUAUAAAAUAAUAUUAUACUACAAUCUCUUUUAAGUUUUAAGUAAACUUUGUAUGUAUUCAUGUAGUUUGACAUUCAAGCUCGCAGCAAUUUCAACAGCAAAUAAUAAAAGCCACCUAUUCAGUUAAUAAAUAGUCCACUGUUGUAA
Bactrocera oleae (olive fruit fly) is the source of this 8488-nucleotide non-coding RNA. The record is from RefSeq and is a predicted model, not a curated record. NCBI's taxonomy places the organism in Eukaryota, Metazoa, Arthropoda, Insecta, Diptera, Tephritidae.